This 70-nucleotide transfer RNA is filed under the name Loxodonta africana (African savanna elephant). It matches the Rfam family "tRNA". From Rfam's summary of the family: Transfer RNA (tRNA) molecules are approximately 80 nucleotides in length. Their secondary structure includes four short double-helical elements and three loops (D, anti-codon, and T loops). Lineage: Eukaryota; Metazoa; Chordata; Mammalia; Proboscidea; Elephantidae. The record is from Rfam by way of RNAcentral.
GCAUCGGUGGUUCAGUGUUAGAAUUCUUGCCUUCCGCAUGGGAGACCUGGGUUCAAUCCCAGCCGACGCA